UUUACAAUAUUUAGCUGCUUUUAAAUCAACUUCAGGCCCGUGAGUCUAAAGUUUUAUUAUAUAUGAACAUCUGGAAUUUGGCUUGCCCAAACUUAACUUUAGGAAAUUUUGAAGCAAGCAAUUUAAGAUAUUUUUAUAUAAAACAAUUAAUAUGAGAUACACGUGCAACACACGUGUCUGAAUACUAGUAUAAUGGAUAAGGAGAUUUAGUUCGUAACCAUCCAGUCGAGGACUUGACAUUCUUCAUUCGUAAUUUAUACAUAAGGGAGGCUCCUCCAUCAAUUAUUAGAUGGUAUGUUUGAUGUUUCAUCUUCUUUUUUUUUUCAAGAAAUUUUGUUGUUUAUGGUUUUUUUUAUCUUUUUUCUGUAGUAUCACAUAAAGGAACAAUUUUUGGCAGGAUUGUAAGUGGUCUGUUUAUCUUUUUUUCUUUUUUCUUUUUUGUGUGUGUGUGUGUGUGUUAAAUAUUUAUGUUGAGUUGAAGGAAACUAAGGGCACUCUUCAACAACUUCACUUACCGACGACGAGUUGCCCAUGAUGCGGAGGAGUGCACAAGAUUAUGGUGAUGCUGCUCACAGUGGGUGCCAUUGAGCUAUAUGUGUCCUGAGCCAUAUCCCAGGAAAAUUCGAAGUUUCUCCUAAUUAACAAUAUCAAGCUUCUCAAAUUUGUGAUAGAUGGCACUGAGGCAGCAUUAGAUGAGCGAAGGGCGAAAGGAAGAGAAAAUUUCUGUUGUGUCGUGGGAAGUAUUGAAAUCAUAGCAGGAGGAGCUAAAGCACAAGCUGUCACGACCCAUUUGGCUUAGGCCGUGCGGGCACUUACCUUCCCCCCUCGGUAAGCGAAUCCUCAUCCCAACAUUGAACCAAUACAUAAACUGAGGAAAGUUAAGUAACGAAAAUCAACAAAUACGUAAG
Lycium ferocissimum is the source of this 908-nucleotide long non-coding RNA. RefSeq lists it as uncharacterized. Lineage: Eukaryota; Viridiplantae; Streptophyta; Magnoliopsida; Solanales; Solanaceae. The record is from RefSeq and is a predicted model, not a curated record. The transcript has 3 exons.